Molecule: long non-coding RNA, 1069 nt
Organism: Lagopus leucura (white-tailed ptarmigan)
Lineage: Eukaryota; Metazoa; Chordata; Aves; Galliformes; Phasianidae
Exons: 2
Source: RefSeq, a predicted model, not a curated record
UUUCUUCAUAGCAUAGUAUUCUUGGACCCAUGAUCUUCUAUUAAAAGGGACAGUCUCUGAAGAUAAGAAGUACACAGAAGAAGCCAGAUAAAGGACACCAACUGUUCUGUUGCCAUUUUGAGCAUUAGAAAUGGCUGGAGAAGCAACUAUCUGGUGAAGAAGGCAAUUGGUACUGGUAGACAGAAUGGAAGAUGGUUGAUGCUUCUGCCACCCUGCCAUCUGCAUGGCCUGAGGAGCUGAUGUCACUGUAACUGUACCAGUCUGGGGACUCUGGGGAUGUGCAGAGGAAGCAGAUGGAGAAGAAACUUGUGGUCACAGCAUGUAAUGACAGCAUGAGAGGAAACCAAUUCCAAUGAAUGGAGAAAAAAUGGUGGAAUGACCUUCUAAAGGCCGCAGAAGGAGUUGAAACUGAGAUGAGAUCAAGGAGCUCCUGACUACCCUGCCCCCAGGGAAAACAUCAGAUUGUUCUGCAUCUCUCUUCUGCAACUAUUGUACUGACAAAGGCCUUUUGCCACACUCAUGUAAGCGUGUCUACAAGAUGGAUUUUUAUGACUGCAGUGAAAUUUGGGAGAUGGCCGGGACACUCUGGUUUCCAGCAAUCCCAUAUCACACUUCCCUCAUGUGCUUCUCUCUCUCCUGCCUCUAUGCCUUUUUCAAUAAACAGGCAAAAUUACCCAUGAGCAAGGCUGUAAGGGACAGUACAGAGCCAGUGAAAUCAUAUGCCUCCUGUGCUUGCAUAGUUAGCAGCAAGUGUAUAUAACACGGCCCUGCCCUUCCUCUUCUAAUGAAAGUGGCUUGCCACCAGGUAGGUGAUCCGCUGCCAAAGGAGAUUAAUCUCCGCUUUUAGAACAUGUUUUGGGGUUGGAAGGGAUAUCAGCAGCUUUGAUAUGUUUUUAACAUCAUCUAAAGCGUAGCCAAGGGAUAUAAUCGUACCCUUGAGAGAGCGAAGGUACAAUACGUAGCUAAGUGCCUCUAAUCCACAGUAGCAUGAUUAUCUAUUGAUAACUGCCUCCUCCCCUUCAGGUGUCCUACUGAUCUUGAGUUUGGUUAAUAAAAACAAAUGAAUUCA